ACCUGGUUGGCUCAGUCCGGUGGAGCAUGUGACUCUGGAUCUCGGGUUUGUGAGUUCAAACCCCAUGCAGGGUG
RNAcentral lists this transfer RNA (74 nucleotides) under Felis catus (domestic cat). It matches the Rfam family "tRNA". Rfam says of the family: Transfer RNA (tRNA) molecules are approximately 80 nucleotides in length. Their secondary structure includes four short double-helical elements and three loops (D, anti-codon, and T loops). The record is from Rfam by way of RNAcentral. Lineage: Eukaryota; Metazoa; Chordata; Mammalia; Carnivora; Felidae.